UCAAGCAAGAAGAGGUUUGCGGCGGAUGCCUGGGAGCUGUCCGGCGAAGAAGGCCGCGGUAAGCUGCGAAAAGCUGCGGGGAGGAGCACACAUCCUUAGAUCCGCAGAUAGCCGAAUGGGGUAACCCGUAUGCCGCAAGGCAUACACCGCGCGCGGGAAGAAGAUACUGCGGCGGAGCGAUACUGCGUGAAGUGAACCAUCUAAGUAACGCGGGAAGAGAAAUCAAAAGAGAUUGCGCAAGUAGCGGCGAGCGAACGCGCAGGAGCCUAAACCCUUAUGUAGGGUGUUGCAGGGCCGCACGGGGAUGACCCGUGGAGUUGGUGAGAAAACCGAUAUGUAGCGGAAGCGUCUGGAAAGGCGCGCGAGACAGCGUGAAAGCCGCGUAUGCGAAAGAUAUCGGACUCCAUGGUGCGGUACCUAAGUAGGGCGGGGCACGAGAAACCCUGUUUGAAUCCGGGUCGACCACGAUCCAAGGCUAAAUACGAGACAGCUACCGACAGCGAAGAGUACCGUGAGGGAACGGCGAAAAGAACCCCGGCGAGGGGAGUGAAAGAGAACCUGAAACCGCAAACCGACAAGAUGUCACGGCCUGAGAGGGUUGUGGCGUGUCUUUUGUAGAAUAAACCUGCGAGUUGCGAUGCGCGGCGAGGCUAAGGGUUGGGAGAUCCGGAGCCGGAGCGAAAGCGAGUGUGAAAAGUGCGAAAAGUCGCGUGUCGCAGACCCGAAGCCAAGGUGAUCUAAUUAUGGGCAGGCUGAAGGCAGGGUGAAACCUGUUGGAGGGCCGAACAGUAAUCUGUUAAAAAAGGUAGUGAUGACCUGUGAUUAGGAGUGAAAGGCUAAACAAACCUGGAAAUAGCUGGCUCUCCCCGAAAUGCCUUUAGGGACAGCCUCAUGCAAAGCGGAAGGAGGUAAAGCACCGGAUGGGAUAGGGGGCGUCACAGUCUACCGACACCAAUCGAACUCAGAAUGCCAUCCGCCAACGCAUGGGAGUGAGACUGUGUGCUCCAAGGUUCAUAGUCGAGAGGGAAACAGCCCGGACCGACGGCAAAGGUCCCGAAAUAACGCUCAGUGUGAAAUGAGGUGCGUCUGCACAGACAGCCAGGAGGUUGGCUCAGAAGCAGCCAUUCCUUAAAAGAGUGCGUAACAGCUCACUGGUCGAGCAGGCGUGCGCAGACAAUGUAACGGGGCUAAGCGUUAUACCGAAGCCGCGGGUUCGUACCGCACGGUACGGACGGUAGGGGAGCAUUGCGCUAACCGAAGAAGGCGUACCUGUGAGGGGCGCUGGAGGAAGCGGAAGAGAGAAUGCAGGCACAAGUAACGAAAAGACGGGUGAGAUUCCCGUCCGCCGAAAGCCUGAGGAUUCCCGGGUAAAGGCAAUCUGCCCGGGGUAAGUCGGCCCCUAAGGCGAGGACGAAAGUCGUAGUCGAUGGGAAAUCGGUUCAAAAUCCGAUACCCGGCUCAGUUUUGAAGGCAGGACGCAUGAGGUGAAAUCCGGCAGGAGAACGGUAGAUUCUGUCCAAGCGGUAAGGUGUUGAGAGGGCGGUUAAAAGAGCCCUUGAGCUGAGCCGUUACGGGGAGCGGAGCGCAGGCGAAGCGAAGCGGAUGUAAUCAAGGUGCCGGGAAAUACUGUCUAAAGCUAGGCUGAGUCGGACCGUACCGGAAACGGACACACGCAGGCAGGAUGAGUAAUCUAAGGCGCACGAGCGACCCCGCGUUAAGGAACUCGGCAAAAAGCACACGUAACUUCGGAAGAAGUGUGGCUCACGCUGAUAAGGAUGUGAGCGGCAGAAAGCAGGCCCAGGCGACUGUUUACCAAAAACACAGCCAUCUGCGAACCGGCAACGGGACGUAUAGGUGGUGACACCUGCCCGGUACCGGAAGGUUAAGGGGAGGGGUUAGCAGCAAUGCGAAGCUCCGAACCGAAGCCCCGGCAAACGGCGGCCGUAACUAUAACGGUCCUAAGGUAGCGAAAUUCCUUGUCGGGUA
Molecule: ribosomal RNA, 1986 nt
Filed under: human metagenome
Description: bacterial LSU rRNA
Rfam family: Bacterial large subunit ribosomal RNA
Source: RNAcentral